GUCUCAGUAGCUCAGCUGGAUAGAGCAACGCCCUUCUAAGGCGUGGGUCGGGGGUUCGAAUCUCUCCUGGGACACCA
RNAcentral lists this transfer RNA (77 nucleotides) under Bacilli bacterium. RNAcentral describes it as "tRNA-Arg". It matches the Rfam family "tRNA". Rfam says of the family: Transfer RNA (tRNA) molecules are approximately 80 nucleotides in length. Their secondary structure includes four short double-helical elements and three loops (D, anti-codon, and T loops). The record is from RNAcentral. Lineage: Bacteria; Bacillati; Bacillota; Bacilli.